GGGGAUGUGGCUCAGCGGUAGAGCGCUUGCCUCACACAUGCAAGACCCUGGGUUUGAUUCUCAGCACCA
This 69-nucleotide transfer RNA is filed under the name Ictidomys tridecemlineatus (thirteen-lined ground squirrel). RNAcentral describes it as "Spermophilus tridecemlineatus (thirteen-lined ground squirrel) tRNA". It matches the Rfam family "tRNA". From Rfam's summary of the family: Transfer RNA (tRNA) molecules are approximately 80 nucleotides in length. Their secondary structure includes four short double-helical elements and three loops (D, anti-codon, and T loops). The record is from Rfam by way of RNAcentral. Lineage: Eukaryota; Metazoa; Chordata; Mammalia; Rodentia; Sciuridae.